This 253-nucleotide ribosomal RNA is filed under the name uncultured bacterium. RNAcentral describes it as "partial 16S ribosomal RNA". It matches the Rfam family "Bacterial small subunit ribosomal RNA", at positions 524 to 776 of the family's 1533-position model. The record is from RNAcentral.
CACGUAGGGCGCAAGCGUUGUCCGGAAUUAUUGGGCGUAAAGAGCGUGUAGGCGGCCUGAAAGGUCAGCUGUGAAAACUCGAGGCUUAACCUCGAGACGUCGGUUGAAACCAUCUGGCUAGAGUCCGGAAGAGGAGUGUGGAAUUCCCGGUGUAGCGGUGAAAUGCGCAGAUAUCGGGAAGAACACCCGUGGCGAAGGCGGCACUCUGGGACGGUACUGACGCUGAGACGCGAAAGCGUGGGGAGCGAACAGG